AAUACUGGAGAAUUUUAGAGCAGGAGUUUUGGCGCGCGUAUACGGUCUGAUUAUUUUUUAAUUUAUUUGCGUCUCUUUUGUAAGUUUAUAAUCUGUUUAUCUUUUGUGUGUAUUAGUUUGUUUAUUUGUUUUGAAAAAUGGAUGACGUAGCUGUGGGCCAUCUUUUGAAUUCACCCCCUAAAAAACGAGCUUGUAAGAAACAUUUUACGGUUUCUGAAAAGGAGGCAAUUAUAAAGUAUGUGAAGUAAAUCAUCCAGGUUAUAGCAAGACACAAAAAGUAUCUUUUACAGCUGUUGCAGCAGGUGUUUCCAAAAGGAGUAUCUAUAAUAUAGUCAAAAGUUAUGAAAAUACUCAUACCUUUCAACCACCAACAAAGUAUCAUAGGGCGAGAGCUAUUUUGGAUAACAUUGAUGACAAACAACUUUUCGACACUUACUCAGGGAAAUUGGUUUUCGCUUUGUAAAAGUCGAAAUAGUAUGCUUAAAGAAAGGGAUGAAAUAAUAUGCUGGAGGCGACGUUAUUUACGAUCCAUAAGAAAGGCUCGACAAGAAAAUAGAAACAUUUAUUAUUUAGAUGAAACAUGGGUGAACGCGGGUCACACGGUUUCCAAAGUAUGGACAGAUACAACCGUAACCACCGCUAGAAACGCUUUUAUCAAUGGAUUGUCCACAGGGCUAAAAGCUCCGGCAGGAAAGGGGAAACGGUUGAUAGUUCUGCAUAUUGGGUCAGAAGAUGGCUUUGUUCAGGGUGAUCAACUAGUUUUAGAAUCAAAAUAGAAGAAAGAUUAUCACGAGGAGAUGAAUGCUCAAGUUUUUGAAGAGUGGUUCGAAAAAAUUUUACCUAGCUUAGAAAAUGGCUGUGUUAUUGUGUUGGAUAACGCAUCCUACCAUAACCGAAAGCUUGACAGAACCCCGACAUCUGCCACAAAGAAAGGGGAUAUUCAAAACUGGUAAAUGACCAAACAAAUUCAUUAUGAACAAGAUAUGAUAAAGGCAGAACUUUUGAAAUUAGUAAAAGAAAUCCGACACGGAGACACAUUUGUAGUGGACGAAAUGGCUAAAGCUACCGGCCGAACGGUCUUAAGAUUGCCACCAUAUCAUUGCGAGUUGAACCCAAUCGAAUUGAUAUAUGCGCAGAUUAAGGGUGAAGUAGCUCGGAAACAUGUCACUUUUAAAUUUGCAGACCUUAAACCACUUUUUGAUCAAGCAGUGUAAAAUGUCAAUCCACAAAAUUGGAAAAAUGCUGUUGCUCACAUUAUCAAAGUAGAAGAACGCAUGUGGACUCUGGAUGAUUUAAUGGAAAUUCAGGUGGAACCAUUUAUUAUAAAUGUUGGUGAAGAUGACGAUACAACUUCUUCAGAUUCUGAGAAAGAUUAGUUUUUUAAAGGCCUGUGUACCUAACUGUGUUUUUUUUUUGAAAUAUGAAAUUUUGAUUUAUUAAAAAUGUUAACGCCCUUUUUUUUAGAGAGAAAGCAUUUUCAAACUUAUGUUGAUAAUUAGUUUAUUUUUUACAUAUAUUUUUGUAAAGAAUCCACCCUUAAAAUU
Long non-coding RNA from Anthonomus grandis grandis, 1544 nucleotides. RefSeq lists it as uncharacterized. NCBI's taxonomy places the organism in Eukaryota, Metazoa, Arthropoda, Insecta, Coleoptera, Curculionidae. The record is from RefSeq and is a predicted model, not a curated record. The transcript has 3 exons.